AGAUUGAACGCUGGCGGCAGGCCUAACACAUGCAAGUCGAGCGGUAGAGAGGUGCUUGCAUCUCUUGAGAGCGGCGGACGGGUGAGUAAUGCCUAGGAAUCUGCCUAGUGGUGGGGGAUAACGUUCGGAAACGGACGCUAAUACCGCAUACGUCCUACGGGAGAAAGCGGGGGACCUUCGGGCCUCGCGCCAUUAGAUGAGCCUAGGUCGGAUUAGCUAGUUGGUGAGGUAAUGGUUCACCAAGGCGACGAUCCGUAACUGGUCUGAGAGGAUGAUCAGUCACACUGGAACUGAGACACGGUCCAGACUCCUACGGGAGGCAGCAGUGGGAAUAUUGGACAAUGGGCGAAAGCCUGAUCCAGCCAUGCCGCGUGUGUGAAGAAGGUCUUCGGAUUGUAAAGCACUUUAAGUUGGAGAAGGUUGUAACUUAAUACGUUGCAACUUUGACGUUACCGACAGAAUAAGCGCCGGCUAACUUCGCGCCAGCAGCCGCGGUAA
Molecule: ribosomal RNA, 498 nt
Filed under: uncultured soil bacterium
Lineage: Bacteria
Description: bacterial SSU rRNA
Rfam family: Bacterial small subunit ribosomal RNA
Source: RNAcentral